Molecule: non-coding RNA, 74 nt
Filed under: unclassified sequences
Source: RNAcentral
UGCAGAGUGAAAAAGGGCUGUCCGAAAUCACGGGGCGGCCCUUUUGUAAUGCAGGUUGCCGGUCACAACCCCGG